RNAcentral lists this ribosomal RNA (465 nucleotides) under uncultured bacterium. Its description in RNAcentral is "partial 16S ribosomal RNA". It matches the Rfam family "Bacterial small subunit ribosomal RNA", at positions 339 to 795 of the family's 1533-position model. The record is from RNAcentral.
CUACGGGUGGCUCCAGUGAGGAGUUUUGCGCAAUGGGGGAAACCCUGACGCAGCAACGCCGCGUGAGUGAAGAAGGCCUUUGGGUCGUAAAGCUCUGUCAACAGGGAAGAAGUUACAAUUGUUUAAUAGAUGAUUGUAUUGACGGUACCUGUGGAGGAAGCGCCGGCUAACUCCGUGCCAGCAGCCGCGGUAACACGGGGGGCGCAAGCGUUAUUCGGAAUUAUUGGGCGUAAAGGGCGCGCAGGCGGUUUUGUCCGUCAGGUGUGAAAGCUCGGGGCUCAACCCCGGAAGUGCACUUGAAACAGCAAGACUUGAAUACGGGAGAGGAAAGCGGAAUUCCUGGUGUAGAGGUGAAAUUCGUAGAUAUCAGGAGGAACACCGAUGGCGAAGGCAGCUUUCUGGACCGAUAUUGACGCUGAGGCGCGAAGGCGUGGGGAGCGAACGGGAUUAGAUACCCGCGUAGUC